Molecule: ribosomal RNA, 424 nt
Filed under: uncultured Rhodopirellula sp.
Lineage: Bacteria; Pseudomonadati; Planctomycetota; Planctomycetia; Pirellulales; Pirellulaceae
Description: bacterial SSU rRNA
Rfam family: Bacterial small subunit ribosomal RNA
Source: RNAcentral
AGUCGAGAAUCUUCGGCAAUGGACGCAAGUCUGACCGAGCGAUGCCGCGUGCGGGAUGAAGGCCCUCGGGUUGUAAACCGCUGUCAGUUGUUAGGAAAUGCCAUAGGGUUCUCUCUAUGGUUUGACCGAUCUUCAGAGGAAGGACGGGCUAAGUUCGUGCCAGCAGCCGCGGUAACACGAACCGUCCAAACGUUAUUCGGUAUCACUGGGCUUAAAGCGUGCGUAGGCGGCCUGGAAGGUCAGAGGUGAAAUCCCACGGCUCAACCGUGGAACUGCCUUUGAAACCAUCAGGCUUGAGGGAGACAGGGGUGAUCGGAACUUAUGGUGGAGCGGUGAAAUGCGUUGAUAUCAUAGGGAACACCGGUGGCGAAAGCGGAUCACUGGGUCUCUUCUGACGCUGAGGCACGAAAGCUAGGGUAGCGAA